RNAcentral lists this ribosomal RNA (253 nucleotides) under uncultured bacterium. Its description in RNAcentral is "partial 16S ribosomal RNA". It matches the Rfam family "Bacterial small subunit ribosomal RNA", at positions 524 to 776 of the family's 1533-position model. The record is from RNAcentral.
UACGUAGGGGGCAAGCGUUGUUCGGAAUUACUGGGCGUAAAGGGCGCGUAGGCGGCCUGGCAAGUCAGGAGUGAAAGGCCUGGGCUCAACCGAGGAACUGCUUUUGAUACUGCCAAGCUAGAGUGCGGAAGGGGCAACUGGAAUUCCCAGUGUAGCGGUGAAAUGCGUAGAUAUUGGGAAGAACACCUGAGGCGAAGGCGGGUUGCUGGGCCGACACUGACGCUCAUGCACGAAAGCGUGGGGAGCAAACAGG